This 418-nucleotide ribosomal RNA is filed under the name Euophryinae sp. Genting Highlands. Its description in RNAcentral is "partial 16S ribosomal RNA". The stretch from base 14 to 311 matches the Rfam family "Bacterial large subunit ribosomal RNA", at positions 2074 to 2646 of the family's 2925-position model. The record is from RNAcentral. Lineage: Eukaryota; Metazoa; Arthropoda; Arachnida; Araneae; Salticidae.
ACAUUUCUAAAAAAGAAAGACGACAAGACCCUAUUGAACUUAACUUUAGUUAAACUGGGGAAGUAAAUUAAUUAUUAUUUUAAUUUAUUAAAGUCCAUAAAUAUCUCAUACAAUUAAAUAAUUCAGUUACCAUAGGGAUAACAGCGCAAUUAUAUUUAUAAGUUCUUAUAUAAAUUAUAGUUUACGACCUCGAUGUUGAAUUAAUUACCUAUUUCUUAAAGCAAAUUUUAACAAAGGAAGUCUGUUCGACUUUUAAAAAAUUACAUGAUUUGAGUUCAGACCGGUGUAAGCCAGGUCGGCUUCCAUCUUCUAUUAUAACCUUUACAGUACGAAAGGGCCUAAAGAUAUAAUAUAAUUAUAAUAUUGGCAGAUAAAUGCAUUAGAAUUAGAAUCUAAUUAAUCUACAAUUAACUUCACA